Molecule: long non-coding RNA, 1026 nt
Organism: Vicia villosa (hairy vetch)
Lineage: Eukaryota; Viridiplantae; Streptophyta; Magnoliopsida; Fabales; Fabaceae
Exons: 3
Source: RefSeq, a predicted model, not a curated record
CUCUAUAUCUCAUAAAAUGCAACCCUAGCUGAGCUCACCUUCACCGCGAUUUCUAUUCUUCUCUCAUCAAUCACCACCAUUGCGUAUCUUAACCGCCACCACUACUCCAGCACAAUGUUUUGUUAGAUUUUUCUAUUUAGUGUUUUGAACUAAGUUUGAUUUUGAUUCAUCUGACAAUAGUUUUUAGUUGUGUGAUUCAGAUACUGCAUUUUUGAAGGGGGCUUGUAUUCAAGUGGUUCUCUGAAGAGAUGGUCAAUUGGAUUGGACUCAUUGCGACAAACCUAUAUUGUGUUGAUGAAACUAUAUAUGUAUCAAGGGCAAAGUGGCAUGGAAGACAAUAAGCAGAAAAGCUCGGUAUCGAAAAUAUUAUGCGUGGUCCAUAUGAUACACAUCAAGCCUCUUCAGAAGAUCCCGAUGAGCUUGAAAAUGUUCUUGAGUACAUAAAUAAAGACAGAUAUCAUCAUAUACCAGCUAUAGUGGCAGCAGAAUCCAUUUUUUAUCAAAAGGAAAAUAGUUGGUUCUACUCAUAUAUACUCCAAUGAGAGCUUGGAAGAGCUUGAGGUUAGCAUAUUACUUAAUAUGUCUUACAUUUGGAACAUUUUCAAUCAUUUUGCACUAAUAAUGUAUUAUCAUAUACCAGCUUUAUCCAAUUCCUCACAACUGUCAAAUUUGUAUAUGAAUGUUUCUAGUUUUUUAAAGUUAUAUUUUAGAUUUAAAUAGAAUUUGGUUUAUAUGAUUUUCUUAAAUGAUGUAUGUUCCAGAAGUUGCGUUAGUAAAAUAUCUACCUGAAUGGUUAUAGGAUUUUUAGAAGGGAAAGACUACCCUAUGUUGUCAUGUGAAGAUUUACAAGUCCUAAAGUCUAAGGGAACAUGCAAAUUGGAAACUAUAAUUAUAGGUCUAAAUCAAAGUAAUUACAAGUAUCAAAAUCAAACAAAAUUCAUAUAAAAAAGCAUAGUGAAAUGUCAUGGAAAUGAUUUACAAAAUAUGAGCAAAAUGACCUAAAAUUUAAGGUAUUUUUUAUUAGAU